Molecule: long non-coding RNA, 3585 nt
Filed under: Canis lupus familiaris (dog)
Lineage: Eukaryota; Metazoa; Chordata; Mammalia; Carnivora; Canidae
Description: lncRNA (ENSCAFG00030005777.1)
Source: RNAcentral
AUGAUAGCAAGACAUUUCCCUGAAUCCCUGCAGCCCAUCCUAGGAGGGAAGAGAUAUACAAAUUUGGUGGGAAGGUGGAUCAUCCUUACUAAUAGCCUUCAGCAGAAGCAGAUUCUCAGCCAGAUAUGCUGCCAGAGAGGCUCUGAGAUCCACAAGAAGUGCAUCAGCCAGGAGGCAUCUGGAUCAAAAGCUGGUGAGGUUUGUGCUCCAGCUGUAACACCACAAGUGACCACGGGUAAACUUUUAGACCAUUACUGACCAAUAGCAUCUUCUGUGAUACUGAAACUGUGUGUAUUUAUGCUGUUCAAUGGGGUAGACACUGGCCACAUGUGGCUGUUGAGUACUUGAAAUGUAUCUAGUACAAGUAAGUGAGCUUUAAUUUUAAUUAAUUCUAAUUUAAGUUUGUAUAGCUGGGUUUAGCUAAUAUUUGCCAUGUGACAGUAUAGUUUUUGACAGUAAUAACCAGCACGAUCACCAGGACAACCAGCUGAUCAUCACUGAGCACAGAGCCUGCCCCACAGCCACUGCACCAAGCUAGGAGUUGGAGUGUGGUUGUGUUCAAAGUGGAUGAAACACAUGGUGGAUCUUUGGAAGAUUCCCUGGUUUCUGCUGCUUCCUGGCAGACGAUGGAAACUUUCUCUCCUGGAGACACGAAGAGGAAAGUUGUCCCCAGUCUCACCUCUAGAAUAGGAGAUGGAGACAAAACACAAAUGUGUCCCAUAUUGACAAUGUCUCACCCACGGUCUUCCCAGUGAAAUCAUGCUGGUGAUCAAAAGGGGCUGGAAGGGCCUCACUCACUGAGCAGUGAUCUCAAUCCCAGUCCCAUAGAACAUGUGCACCCUUCACCAUGGACUGUUUCCCUCACCCUGUUCUCUUUCUUGCUUUGAGCCAGAACACAUGACCCAGAGGGCUAGAGCCCUGUGUCUAUGGCCUGGGCUGCUCCUCCCUGACUUGGAUCCUGCCCAGAGCCUGUAACAAUCCACUGAUAAGGGCUUGAGUGGUAGAGGCAGCACUUUGGGGAACGUGCAAAGCAAUGAUGGAUGCGGAUCUGGGCUUCCAGCUUCUGAACAGAGGGCACAGCCUGUCUCAUGGGUGUGAUCCAGGCCAAGGGGCUUGAUGAAAAAUGUAAUGAAGUUUACCUUUCCAGUGAAAAAACCCUCAGAAGUCUCCCCAUUCUUACAGGACUGGUUUGGUUUGCAUUAGAGGGGAAGAAAAAAAUUUUUUUAAAUAAACACGUAGUGGUUUGUUGGGAAUCUCCUGAGAAGAUAAUGAUUUUAAACACUAUCACUCCCCUCUGAUAGAUUCAUGAUGCUGAGUGGACAGAGAAGAAGGAAAAGUUAUUGUUGAUCAUCAGAUACUAUUCUUGUGUUUCUUAGGGACUGAGAGAUAGGACUUAUGAAAGAAAGUUAUCAAAAUUUUCCCUCUUUCCUGUGACCUCCUUCUUGCUUCCAAUUCCCAAAUAUAUGUGUUUAAACUUCACAUCCUAUUCAAAUAGUUUUGAAUACAAAAGCUCAUUGACCCCUGUCAAGAAAAAUAUGUUCAAAAUAAAACUGGUAGCUUGGACCCAAAAACCUCCUGUGCCUCCCCAGUCCAGGUAACAGGGCCAAAUAAGCUUCCUAAACUCUGCAGACUGCAAGCCCUGGAAUGAGGCAGUUUCUCUCUCUCUCUGAUACAGCUUCCAGAGAUUUCCAUGGCAGUCAUGGAGAUGCAUUUUGUGAGUCUUCCUAUAAGAAAGAACUGUUCAGCUAUGAGGUGUACAGUAGGCUGACAGCCUCCAGCCUCCCUCACGACCUGCCAUAGCAUUGGAAUCAAACCCACAUUCUUUCCAGACAGCUCCCAACCAUUGACUGAGCGUGGCAGAGGGGCUAAGGUCUGGCCAAUUCUGCCCAGUGGUGGUGAGGGGGCCCUUCCCCUGUGCUGGGGGCUUUCCCAUUGGGUUGAGUGAGACUGUCGGGGUUCUCCCUAUCCAGCUCUGCGUCUUCCUCCUUAGAAUGUAUGACCUUCUAAUGAACUUCCUAGCCCUCUCACCUCCAUCUCACCACCUUCUUCCUGGAGAAUCCAAAUGGAUGGAUAUAGUUGAUAGAAGGGAGGAUCUGAGAAAGCAGGUAGUAAAGAUAGGGCUGGGACAGGGUCACUUAGUACCCAGAAGGUAAUCAGGAUCCCCAUCCGUAGCUGUGGAGGCUCAAUUGCCAAAAGAAGGUGAAGGAAAUAUGCCAAUUGGUGGAGAUGCUGGUGGCUGCAAUGAUUCAGGGAUCCGGGAAGGAAGGAUAGGGCAUUCGAGGCAGUAAUGCCAGCAGCUGGCUGUCAGGUUGCAUUGGUCCUAAUGGGCCCUGAGGAUAGUUAAACAGUUGAAAAGCAAGUGUGAAGGCCAGAGGCCAUCCUUAGCAGUUUAGAAAAAGCCUUCUUUUUCUGCUUGUGGAAAGCAGAAAAAAGCCAAAAACCAAACUCAGAACUUAAAAGCCUGAAAAAAAUUGAAUGCUCAGCUGAGACUAGGUUGUCAAGCCACAGUCAGAUCCUGGUUGGGAAAACCUGGGACCCUGCACAUGAAUGAGGAAAAGUGGUAGAGGGUGCAUGAUAUUUUACUCUCAAAACUAAUAAAAUACUGUAUGUCAAUUACACCUCAAUUUUAAAAAAUGAGAAAGUGGUCUACUUACUCACUAUUCCUGGGAAACACUCCAUGCUUUUUCAGUUUCCACUUGUUUGCUCACAUGACUUCUCAUCUGGCACUGGGUUCUGAGAACAGAAAAGUUACCCCAGACAGUCCAUGCCAGGAGGCCAAGUCCACACCAUCAACUGGUAAUGGAUUGAGAGCCCAGAUAUGUGCUGUCCUUGGACUGAAUUCUCUGCAGGUCAAACAGUCUUAGUUUUCUAUUGCCUCCUCCUUGGGGCGCCUGAGUGGCUCAGUCUGUUAAGUGUCCAACUCUUGGUUUUGGCUCAGGUCAUGAUCUCAUGAAUCGUGAAAUCGAAACCUGAGUUGGGCUCUAUGCUCAGUGGGGGGUCUGCUUGAAGAUUCUCUCCCUCUGACCGUCCUCCUGCUCAUAGGCUCUCUCUCUUAUACAUAAACAAAUCUUUAAAUAUAUAUAUAAUUUAUAUUAUAAUAUAUAUAUAUAUACUGUCUCCUCUAACAUUUUCUAUUAUAGUAUUAAAAACCUUCAUAUCAGCAUGUUACUUUUUAAAAAUUAUUUGAAAAAUGACACUUUUAGAAAAUAUAGAUGGAAAGUUAGUGUAUCCCUUGUUAUCACAACUGUCUCCUGGCUGUGCAUCUGUCUGAAAUUCCAAUUGUUUAUAUUUUCCUUUAAAUUCUACAAAUUUUUUAAUAAUACCCUAAAAAUUUUCUAAGACCCAGCUUUACUGCUUCAUCCUUCCUUAGGUCUUCUUUGAUUCCUCUGGCCAAUAUCCUCCCAGAACACCCAAGGAACCUGUGGCUCUACUCUUCCCUUUGAGGUACAUUUGCAUAGUCGUUGUUGGUGUACAUGUUUUACAUUCUCUUCAGCACUGGAAACUGCCAGAAAGUAAGGAUCAUAGAUUCUAUAACCACAGUCCCGGCCAUGCACAGGACAGUAGACUUUAGGUGUUUCCUUUUUC